AGCGAACGCUGGCGGCGUGCCUAACACAUGCAAGUCGAACGGUUCUGUUGGGGGCUUGCUCUCGACAGAGUAGUGGCAAACGGGUGAGUAACACGUGGGUAAUCUUCCUUCGAGUGAGGAAUAACUUCGGGAAACCGGAGCUAAUACCGCAUAACAUCUUGGAACGGCAGUUCUAAGAUCAAAGGGGGCGCAAGCUCCCGCUUGAAGUUGAGCUCGCGUCCUAUCAGCUAGUUGGUGAGGUAAUGGCUCACCAAGGCUCCGACGGGUAGCCGGCCUGAGAGGGUGGCCGGCCACACUGGGACUGAGACACGGCCCAGACUCCUACGGGAGGCAGCAGUGGGGAAUAUUGCGCAAUGGACGAAAGUCUGACGCAGCGACGCCGCGUGGGUGAUGAAGGCCUUCGGGUCGUAAAGCCCUGUUGAGGGAGAGAAAGCUACUGUCGGUUAAUACCCGGCAGUGGUGAUAGUAUCCCUAGAGAAAGCACCGGCUAACUACGUGCCAGC
This 503-nucleotide ribosomal RNA is filed under the name uncultured bacterium. RNAcentral describes it as "bacterial SSU rRNA". It matches the Rfam family "Bacterial small subunit ribosomal RNA", at positions 29 to 512 of the family's 1533-position model. The record is from RNAcentral.